Molecule: microRNA, 23 nt
Filed under: Drosophila ananassae
Lineage: Eukaryota; Metazoa; Arthropoda; Insecta; Diptera; Drosophilidae
Description: Dan-Mir-92-P5_5p* (star (passenger))
Source: RNAcentral
AGGACGGGGAGCGUGACAAUAUA